RNAcentral lists this ribosomal RNA (425 nucleotides) under uncultured bacterium. Its description in RNAcentral is "partial 16S ribosomal RNA". It matches the Rfam family "Bacterial small subunit ribosomal RNA", at positions 354 to 796 of the family's 1533-position model. The record is from RNAcentral.
GUUAGGAAUAUUGGACAAUGGGCGCAAGCCUGAUCCAGCCAUGCCGCGUGAACGAUGAAGGCCUUCGGGUUGUAAAGUUCUUUAGCCGAUGAUUAUAAUGACUGUAGUCGGAAAAUAAGCCCCGGCUAACUUCGUGCCAGCAGCCGCGGUAAUACGAAGGGGGCGAGCGUUAUUCGGAAUCACUGGGCGUAAAGCGUGCGUAGGCGGUCUCGUAAGUUAGGAGUGAAAGCCCAGGGCUCAACCUUGGAAUUGCUCUUAAUACUGCAAGGCUAGAAUCUCGGAGAGGAUAGCGGAAUUUCCAGUGUAGCAGUGAAAUGCGUAGAUAGUGGAAGGAACACCAGUGGCGUAAGCGGCUAUCUGGACGAGUAUUGACGCUGAGGCACGAAAGCGUGGGGAUCAAACAGGAUUAGAUACCCUGGUAGUCC